Molecule: transfer RNA, 112 nt
Filed under: Nanobdellota archaeon
Lineage: Archaea; Nanobdellati; Nanobdellota
Description: tRNA-Leu
Rfam family: tRNA
About the family: Transfer RNA (tRNA) molecules are approximately 80 nucleotides in length. Their secondary structure includes four short double-helical elements and three loops (D, anti-codon, and T loops).
Source: RNAcentral
GGCAGGGUCGCUUAGUCUGGCCAUAGCGCCUGAUUGAGAUUCGGGUGGGGCUCCCCAGUCCCUCGCGGGUUCGAACGUCGAUCCCCCAGACAUGGAAGUCCCGCCCCUGCCG